CCUACGGGAGGCAGCAGUGGGGAAUAUUGCGCAAUGGGCGAAAGCCUGACGCAGCGACGCCGCGUGAGGGAUGAAGGUCUUCGGAUCGUAAACCUCUGUCAGCAGGGAAGAACGGUCACUGUGCUAAUCAGCAGUGAAUUGACGGUACCUGCAAAGGAAGCACCGGCUAACUCCGUGCCAGCAGCCGCGGUAAUACGGAGGGUGCGAGCGUUAAUCGGAAUUACUGGGCGUAAAGCGCUCGUAGGCGGUAUGUCAAGUCAAGGGUGAAAUCCCCGCGCUCAACGUGGGAACUGCCUUUGAAACUGGCAAACUGGAGUGUGUGAGAGGAUAGUGGAAUUCCAGGUGUAGGAGGGAAAUGCGUAGAUAUCUGGAGGAACAUCAGUGGCGAAGGCGACUAUCUGGCACAUAACUGACGCUGAGGAGCGAAAGCGUGGGUAGCAAACAGGAUUAGAUACCCGUGUAGUC
RNAcentral lists this ribosomal RNA (465 nucleotides) under uncultured bacterium. Its description in RNAcentral is "partial 16S ribosomal RNA". It matches the Rfam family "Bacterial small subunit ribosomal RNA", at positions 338 to 795 of the family's 1533-position model. The record is from RNAcentral.